This 219-nucleotide unclassified non-coding RNA is filed under the name Xanthoporus sp. Its description in RNAcentral is "partial contains 5.8S ribosomal RNA, internal transcribed spacer 2, and large subunit ribosomal RNA". Lineage: Eukaryota; Fungi; Basidiomycota; Agaricomycetes; Polyporales; Steccherinaceae. RNAcentral also lists the same sequence under 2 other names. The record is from RNAcentral.
AACGCACAUUGCACCCAUUGGUAUUCCGAUGGGUAUACUUGUUUGAGCGUCAUUUCAUUCUCCUUUUUGGGGUUUUAGCUUGAAUAAAUCUCGCUGAAUUAUAGUGGUGUGGCUACCAGACUACAACGUGAUAGAUAUUUCGUUGGAUGUGACUGGGAUUGCUCACCUUAAAACAAUUGUAUAGACCUCAAAUCAAGCAGGACUACCCGCUGAACUUAA